GGACGGGUGAGUAAUGCUUGGGAAUAUGCCUUAUGGUGGGGGACAACAGUUGGAAACGACUGCUAAUACCGCAUGAUGUCUACGGACCAAAGUGGGGGACCUUCGGGCCUCACGCCAUAAGAUUAGCCCAAGUGGGAUUAGCUAGUUGGUGAGGUAAUGGCUCACCAAGGCGACGAUCCCUAGCUGGUUUGAGAGGAUGAUCAGCCACACUGGGACUGAGACACGGCCCAGACUCCUACGGGAGGCAGCAGUGGGGAAUAUUGCACAAUGGGCGCAAGCCUGAUGCAGCCAUGCCGCGUGUGUGAAGAAGGCCUUCGGGUUGUAAAGCACUUUCAGUAAGGAGGAAAGGUUAGUCACUAAUAUUGGCUAGCUGUGACGUUACUUACAGAAGAAGCACCGGCUAACUCCGUGCCAGCAGCCGCGGUAAUACGGAGGGUGCGAGCGUU
RNAcentral lists this ribosomal RNA (446 nucleotides) under Pseudoalteromonas mariniglutinosa. RNAcentral describes it as "bacterial SSU rRNA". It matches the Rfam family "Bacterial small subunit ribosomal RNA", at positions 100 to 542 of the family's 1533-position model. Lineage: Bacteria; Pseudomonadati; Pseudomonadota; Gammaproteobacteria; Alteromonadales; Pseudoalteromonadaceae. The record is from RNAcentral.